CCCGCUGAACUUAAGCAUAUCAAUAAGGGGAGGAAAAGAAAAUAACUAUGAUUCCCUCAGUAACGGCGAGUGAAGCGGGAUCAGCUCAAGCUCUUAAUCGGAGGUGUCUACACUUUCGAAUUGUAGUUUUGAGAGAGGGUCUAAAGGUUGAGGAGGAGACUAAGUUUGUUGGAAAACAGCGCCAAAGAGGGUGACAGCCCCGUGAGUCUCCUUGCUCUUCUGUAUAUUCCCUUUUCUUAGAGUCGGGUUGUUUGAGAGUACAGCCCAAAAUAGGUGGUAAGUUCCAUCUAAAGCUAAAUAUUGGCGGGAGACCGAUAGCAAACAAGUACCGCGAGGGAAAGAUGAAAAGAACUUUGAAAAGAGAGUCAAAAGGACUUGAAAUUGCUAAAGCGAAGCAAUUGACACUAUCUUGAGGGGGGUAGAUAUUCAGUUUCGAAGGAGUGGAAACGGGGCUGCUGAAGCAGGGAUACCUGUUCACUGUCUUGUCUAAGCUCCUUUGGGGUGCACUUAUCUAUCUUCCGAACCAUCUUGGCUCAAUCGUUGGUUAGAAUAGUGGGAGGGAGGUACUCUGGUUGCGGCUAGGGGAAUACCUUCUACAAGAUGACCAAUGGUUGAGUGAGGGGAGAUUCUUCUCCAAAUGGUGUGCUCAGCGGAGUAAAGGGGUCACAUGCGGGGGUAGUUGGGGUCAAUGCAUGCAUUAGCUCUUUCUAUCUCUGUAUCCUGGCUUCUGCCUUCCUACAUCAUAAUGAAGAUGGUAUGAUGGUGCCAAUUGUCCCGUCUUGAAACACGG
This 790-nucleotide ribosomal RNA is filed under the name uncultured fungus. Its description in RNAcentral is "eukaryotic LSU rRNA". It matches the Rfam family "Eukaryotic large subunit ribosomal RNA", at positions 24 to 664 of the family's 3401-position model. Lineage: Eukaryota; Fungi. The record is from RNAcentral.